GACGAACGCUGGCGGCGUGCUUAACACAUGCAAGUCGAACGGAGAUAUUUGAAAAGCUUGCUUUUUGGAUAUUUUAGUGGCGGACGGGUGAGUAACGCGUGAGUAACCUGCCUUGGAGUGGGGAAUAACACAGGGAAACUUGUGCUAAUACCGCAUAUGCCUUGAGUAACACAUGUUACAAAAGGGAAAGGAGUAAUCCGCUGAUAGAUGGGCUUGCGUCUGAUUAGAUAGUUGGUAGGGUAACGGCCUACCAAGUCAACGAUCAGUAGCCGGACUGAGAGGUUGAACGGCCACAUUGGGACUGAGAUACGGCCCAGACUCCUACGGGAGGCAGCAGUCGGGAAUAUUGCGCAAUGGAGGAAACUCUGACGCAGUGACGCCGCGUGCAGGAAGAAGGUUUUCGGAUUGUAAACUGCUUUAGACAGGGAAGAAAUAAGACAGUACCUGUAGAAUAAGCUACCGGCUAACUACGUGCCAGCAGCCGCGGU
Molecule: ribosomal RNA, 488 nt
Filed under: uncultured bacterium
Lineage: Bacteria
Description: bacterial SSU rRNA
Rfam family: Bacterial small subunit ribosomal RNA
Source: RNAcentral